Molecule: ribosomal RNA, 253 nt
Filed under: uncultured bacterium
Lineage: Bacteria
Description: partial 16S ribosomal RNA
Rfam family: Bacterial small subunit ribosomal RNA
Source: RNAcentral
UACGGAGGGUGCAAGCGUUGCUCGGAAUUAUUGGGCGUAAAGGGUAGGUAGGUGGUCUCAUUUGUCUGGGGUGAAAGCCUUGAGCUUAACUCAAGAAGUGCCCCAGAAACGGUGAGACUCGAGUCCUGGAGAGGGUCGUGGAAUUCCCGGUGUAGCGGUGAAAUGCGUAGAGAUCGGGAGGAACACCAGAGGCGAAGGCGGCGACCUGGACAGGUACUGACGCUGAGACGCGAAAGCGUGGGGAGCAAACAGG